AUGGGUAGGAGGGGGUCUUGAUUUACAGUGUUCAUUUAAACGCUGGCAGUGGUCUCCCACCAUGGUCUCCACCCCUGCUGCAUGCGUAGCGUUCCACAGGAAGGAGGAGAGGCGUGACGUAAGAGGCGCAACGAGGCUGGAGGUGGUUGUUGAAAGAGGGCCUGCAGCUGCAGCCCCUCUACCCAACUCUCUGCACUGGGCUGGUUGUUGGUGCGUGAAUGAAGCGGAUCCGUGGUUAUCCUGGCUGCGCACAAGGGCGCACAGCCACGCAGCGCAGCAUGACACUGAACGUGCUGUAUGGUGGCAUUGAAUUAAUCUGGAUGCACUGAGCGGUGAAACGUUAGAAUGAAUCGCGAACAUAAUCACUGCUCCUCUGUGACUGUGACUUCUGUUCAGCACCGACAAGUCCUCAUUUGCAUGUGAUGCGAAGAUGAACAAUCUAUUUUGAUAUGUGUGAGACCUCAGACACAGCAUGUGACAGUAAAAGAUGACGUGGGGAAAGUCUUAGCAUAUAUCAGACCCCAAAUGAAAAAAAAAAUGAUGACGUGAACAUUCUACCAUUGGGUUGUUUUUUUUAGUUGUUUUUUUCAUCACGUUUCAUCAGAGGUCUUUGCCGAAGGGAGUCGAUGAAGGCAAGACCAUCUUUGGUGGAAUUACCUUGUUUGUGGUAUGUUUUCUACUUGAGCCAAAGCUGUGUGACUUUAACCAGUACAAGUGUAAUACAAAUGCUGGAAACUCAGCUAGAGAAGAUGCCCUAAUACUCCUAAACAAGCAACACAGUGCUGUAGAGAAAACUCACUUGCUUAUGUGUGAUAAUUACUAUUUUUAAUUCCUGUGAAGUUUGUGUGCCUCUUGAGAAUGUGCCUGUUAAUUUGGCUUGUGUUUUCUCUCAUCAACAGCCUUCACUUUUGCAGUGUUAGUACACCUUUACUGUUUCUUCCAUUUCAUUUCUGCACUCUUUUGUUUGCCUUUGUUGUUGUAAAGAAAGUUUGGUGCAUCUGAUUUGGACUCCCAGUCACUUUCUGACUGCCUUUGGAAGAAUGACUCAGCGAAUAUUGUUUGUGUGUGUGUGUGUGUGUGUGUGUGUGUGUGUGUGUGUGUGUGUGUGUGUGUGUGUGUGUGUGUGUUUGCCUGCAAGGGAUGGGCAUAUUAAAUUAUUUAACAAUC
This is a long non-coding RNA of Acanthopagrus latus (yellowfin seabream), 1167 nucleotides long. RefSeq lists it as uncharacterized. The record is from RefSeq and is a predicted model, not a curated record. NCBI's taxonomy places the organism in Eukaryota, Metazoa, Chordata, Actinopteri, Spariformes, Sparidae. The transcript has 2 exons.